This 468-nucleotide ribosomal RNA is filed under the name uncultured bacterium. RNAcentral's name for it is "partial 16S ribosomal RNA". It matches the Rfam family "Bacterial small subunit ribosomal RNA", at positions 28 to 507 of the family's 1533-position model. The record is from RNAcentral.
GAUGAACGCUGGCGGCGUGCUUAACACAUGCAAGUCGAACGGAAAGGCCCUGCUUUUGGGGGGUUCGCGAGUGGCGAACGGGUGAGUAACACGUGAGUAACCUGCCCCUGACUUGGGGAUAACUUCAGGUAACUGCGGCUAAUACCGGAUAGGAGCUCCUGCUGCACGGUGGGGGGUGGCAAGUUUCGGCGGUUGGGGAGGGACUCGCGGCUUAUCAGCUUGUUGGUGGGGUAGUGGCUUACCAAGGCUUUGACGGGUAGGCGACAUGGGAGGGUGACCAGGGUCAUGACGACUACGGGACGGAGCAGAGGGGAAUGGGAGGCAACGGUGGGGAACAUUGCGCAGUGAGGGGGAGCGUGAUACAAAGGCGCUGCGUGUGGAAAGACGGCCUUGGGGUUAUGAACCGAUUUCGGCUGUUACGUAGCGUGAGUGACGGUAAUGGGUAAAGAAGCACCGGCUAACUACGUG